RNAcentral lists this ribosomal RNA (253 nucleotides) under uncultured bacterium. RNAcentral's name for it is "partial 16S ribosomal RNA". It matches the Rfam family "Bacterial small subunit ribosomal RNA", at positions 524 to 776 of the family's 1533-position model. The record is from RNAcentral.
UACGGAGGGUGCGAGCGUUGUUCGGAAUCAUUGGGCGUAAAGCGCGUGUAGGCGGCUAGGUAAGUCUGCUCUGAAAGCCCGGGGCUCAACCCCGGGAGGCGGGUGGAUACUGUCUAGCUCGAGUCCGGAAGAGGGGUGUGGAAUUCCUGGUGUAGCGGUGAAAUGCGCAGAUAUCAGGAGGAACACCAAUGGCGAAGGCAGCUCGCUGGGACGUUACUGACGCUGAGACGCGAAAGCGUGGGGAGCAAACAGG